GACGAACGCUGGCGGCGUGCUUAACACAUGCAAGUCGAACGGAAAGGCCCCUUUGGGGGUACUCGAGUGGCGAACGGGCGAGUAACACGUGAGUAACCUGCCCUUGACUUCGGGAUAACUUCAGGAAACUGGGGCUAAUAACGGAUAGGAAUCCUUGCUGCAUGGUGGGGGUUGGAAAGAUUGGGCGGUUUGGGAUGGACUCGCGGCUUAUUAGCUUGUUGGUGGGGUAGUGGCUUACAAAGGCUUUGCGGGGUAGCUGGCCUGAGAGGGAGACCGGCCAAAUGGGGCUUGAGAUCCGGCCAAGCUCCUUCCGGGAGGAACCGUGGGGGAAUUUUCACCAAUGGCGGGAACCUUAAUCAACAACGCCGCGUGCGGGGUGGCGGCCUUCCGGUUGUAAACCCCUUUCCGCAUGUGCGGAGCUUGUAGUGACGGUACCUGCAGAAGAAGCACCGGCUAACUACGUG
RNAcentral lists this ribosomal RNA (464 nucleotides) under uncultured bacterium. Its description in RNAcentral is "partial 16S ribosomal RNA". It matches the Rfam family "Bacterial small subunit ribosomal RNA", at positions 28 to 507 of the family's 1533-position model. The record is from RNAcentral.